CGGAGAGCAGAGAGGGAGCGCGCCUUGGCUCGCUGGCCUUGGCUGCGGCUCCUCGGGAGAGCUGGGGCGCCCACGAGAGGAUCCCUCACCUGGGUCUCUCCUCAGGGAUGACAUCAUCCGUCCACCUCCUUGUCUUCAAGGACCACCUCCUCUCCAUGCUGAGCUGCUGCCAAGGGGCCUGCUGCCCAUCUACACCUCACGAGGGCACUAGGAGCACGGAUUCCUGGAUCCCACCAACAUACAAAGCAGCCACUCACUGACCCCCAGGACCAGGAUGGCAAAGGAUGAAGAGGACCGGAACUGACCAGCCAGCUGUCCCUCUUACCUAAAGACUUAAACCAAUGCCCUAGUGAGGGGGCAUUGGGCAUUAAGCCCUGACCUUUGCUAUGCUCAUACUUUGACUCUAUGAGUACUUUCCUAUAAGUCUUUGCUUGUGUUCACCUGCUAGCAAACUGGAGUGUUUCCCUCCCCAAGGGGGUGUCAGUCUUUGUCGACUGACUCUGUCAUCACCCUUAUGAUGUCCUGAAUGGAAGGAUCCCUUUGGGAAAUUCUCAGGAGGGGGACCUGGGCCAAGGGCUUGGCCAGCAUCCUGCUGGCAACUCCAAGGCCCUGGGUGGGCUUCUGGAAUGAGCAUGCUACUGAAUCACCAAAGGCACGCCCCACCUCUCUGAAGAUCUUCCUAUCCUUUUCUGGGGAAUGGGGUCGAUGAGAGCAACCUCCUAGGGUUGUUGUGAGAAUUAAAUGAGAUAAAAGAGGCCUCAGGCAGGAUCUGGCAUAGAGGAGGUGAUCAGCAAAUGUUUGUUGAAAAGGUUUGACAGGUCAGUCCCUUCCCACCCCUCUUGCUUGUCUUACUUGUCUUAUUUAUUCUCCAACAGCACUCCAGGCAGCCCUUGUCCACGGGCUCUCCUUGCAUCAGCCAAGCUUCUUGAAAGGCCUGUCUACACUUGCUGUCUUCCUUCCUCACCUCCAAUUUCCUCUUCAACCCACUGCUUCCUGACUCGCUCUACUCCGUGGAAGCACGCUCACAAAGGCACGUGGGCCGUGGCCCGGCUGGGUCGGCUGAAGAACUGCGGAUGGAAGCUGCGGAAGAGGCCCUGAUGGGGCCCACCAUCCCGGACCCAAGUCUUCUUCCUGGCGGGCCUCUCGUCUCCUUCCUGGUUUGGGCGGAAGCCAUCACCUGGAUGCCUACGUGGGAAGGGACCUCGAAUGUGGGACCCCAGCCCCUCUCCAGCUCGAAAUCGGCAGACUAGGAUGGAAGUGCCCUGCGAGCUGGGGGGCCCUUCAAAGGGCCAAGGAGAAAACGCAGGCCGAGGGACCAGCCUUCCGAAUGGGCUUCAAGCUCCAGUGACCUCCGCUCGCCCCCUCGAAAUGUCUGGAAAACAUAAUGGGCAGAUUUUCUGUCUUCAAAGUUUCCGGCUAAACCUCUUCAAGUUCUUUAUUGUUUGGGACUGAGACACUCAGCCAUGGUAAUGGGUAGUUUCUUUUGUAUUUGCCUUGAAAGGCCAAAAUAUUUUUAUAUUGCCACAGACAAAGCCACCUAUUUAAAAAUGAACUCCAUGUCCGUCGUUUCCCACCAGGAGACUAUGUACCAUGUGUGUGUCUCUAUGUAUUCUGGGGUCUUGAAACAGGUUUCUCAUGGGGAUGGUCAUUCACCACGGUCCAGAGGGGCAGAACAGGCGGCGCUUGCCUUGCCCAGGGGGCCUGGGGAACGUGGGCCCUCAUCUCAGAUCUGUCCCCAGUAUGUCUAGGACGCGAGCCCCAGAAGGAUCUGGGAGUAAACUUAACAUUCACUGUGUCUCUGCUCUGCAUCCGCCAUUUGUGUGUGUUUCUGGACUGUGGGCUGUGUGUACCUUGGUUGGUGACUCAGUGAGAAGAAGCAGGAAUGCCAAAGAUACUGUGAAUGUUCUGAGUUUUGUUGCUGUUGUUGUUGAGAGGUUGUUUGACUGGUAUCUAUUGCAUUAUAUAAUAAAUGACCAGAUGAAUGAAUGAGUGAAGCAAGAGAGAAUGAAUAAACAAGUAAAUAGGUAAAGAAGUAAGCAAGCCAGGAUGAGAGUGUGUGUACACAAGACCAUGGUUCAUCCGCUUUGAUGCCUAGGCAAUCAAUAUAUAAAUAGAAAAAACCCAGUGAAUCACUAAGUAAUAGGGCAACACACAAAGUGAUAUCAGGUGAUUAUGGACUAAGGGGUAUGUGUAAUUCCAAUAUAUGCCUCUGACAUUUGACAAUGAAAAACAACCUAAAUGAAAGAAAGAAUGGAUGUAUGAGUAGUGAAGUGCAGAAUGAGACAUAGAUUUUGAGGCCCGUCAAAAUGAAAAGAUGCAAGUUAGGGAACAAGUGAUCAAAAGGGAGAAGGGAAAGGUAUUUUUAAAAAACCAAAACAACAAAGAAAGGUUAAAAAAAAACAGACUAGAGGAUGAGUAAUGAGUAACUCUGUAAGGAGGACCAUGUCAGGCUAUUGUAAGCUAAGCAUUAGGACUGAUACAAAUAAUAUAUGCUCCUGGCAUAGAAAAAUAAACCACAGAGAACGAGUUCAAAGAAUAGCAAAGAAAGAAAGAGGACCCAGUGGGCGAAAGAUGAGAGUGUACUUUUACCAAAAGUUAUCUAAGCCUGAGCACUUGAAGUCUGCACAUAAAUAAAUAAAUGACAAAAGAAAGGAAAAAAGGCCAAAAA
RNAcentral lists this long non-coding RNA (2668 nucleotides) under Pan troglodytes (chimpanzee). Its description in RNAcentral is "lincRNA". The stretch from base 518 to 622 matches the Rfam family "Maternally expressed 3 conserved region 2". The record is from RNAcentral. Lineage: Eukaryota; Metazoa; Chordata; Mammalia; Primates; Hominidae.